CCCAGCGGCUGGGGAAAAGCAACCCUAAGCACGUGCUGCGGCAACGCCGGCGCAGCCACCUGAGCACGGCCCGCGUCCCACAUUCAGCCCGCCACCCGCCCCGCUGGACGCGCCACGGUCGCCCCGAUGGCGCCGGCCGCCACCCGGGCCAUCUGCCUCGGGGUGGCCCAGGGCCCCCAACCAGUAGGCAGCGCGAAGGCCGGGUUGGGCACGCACGGGUCGCGCCGACACUUUAACACGCAUAUGGAUGGCACACACGCGUGCCCUGUCGCAGGCCGCCCCGACGCCACGUCAUCCAGGACCGGGCCGCCGGCGUCAGUAGCCACGAAUCGCUCUCACCCCCCCCACCCCACGUCGUAGGGUACCUGGCCCUGGCGCCACCAAAAAGUGGUUCGGCGCCGGUGGGGUGUGGGGCUGCUGGGCUCCCCCACGCGGCGGGUGCUGGGCCCCAUUAUAUCACCAGCAUGCGGCCCCCCCCCUCCAAGUAAGGUUUGCGGAUUUUUGUUGGCAAAUGGAGUGGGGGACUUUUAUGGGGCUUCACGCCUGUGGCGCUGUGGAAGUAGCGAAGGGAGAUAUGAAUAUUGUCCGCAUGCUGAUUUGGCUUCUCUAGAAGUCCCGAAUUGUUGUUGGUGCGUUUUGGCAGUGCAUGCAGGGUAUGACCCACGAGGUAACUGAAUGGGCUGCAUCGGACACAAGUGGCGAGCGACGUUGAUAGGAAAAUCGAAGGAGCAAUGGAAUGAAGAAGAUAGCUGUUUCCAGAGAAGAAUGAAUUUUUAGUUGCCUAUUAUGAUGGCUUGAGCUAUGCACGUUCAAUUCAGAAUAUGUGAGUGAAGGAACUGUGAGUCGAUUGUCGCUCACUAUUGAGGAAAGGACUGUGGGGCGAUCUGGGUAAAACACUAAUGACACAGGUUCUUGUGCCUCUGUUUCUUUUAUAUUCAAGCAAACACAGAAGAUUAAGCAUUUACUGACGCCUUUCUCCUGUGUUUUCUUAACUCUGACGCAUAUCUUUCAUUCACUUACAUAUACUAG
This 1029-nucleotide unclassified non-coding RNA is filed under the name Leishmania donovani. RNAcentral's name for it is "gene:unknown". The record is from RNAcentral. Lineage: Eukaryota; Euglenozoa; Kinetoplastea; Trypanosomatida; Trypanosomatidae.